Molecule: ribosomal RNA, 441 nt
Filed under: uncultured Streptococcus sp.
Lineage: Bacteria; Bacillati; Bacillota; Bacilli; Lactobacillales; Streptococcaceae
Description: bacterial SSU rRNA
Rfam family: Bacterial small subunit ribosomal RNA
Source: RNAcentral
AUGUGGUUUAAUUCGAAGCAACGCGAAGAACCUUACCAGGUUCUUGACAUCCCGAUGCUAUUUCUAGAGAUAGAAAGUUACUUCGGUACAUCGGUGACAGUGGUGCAUGGUUGUCGUCAGCUCGUGUCGUGAGAUGUUGGGUUAAGUCCCGCAACGAGCGCAACCCCUAUUGUUAGUUGCCAUCAUUCAGUUGGGCACUCUAGCGAGACUGCCGGUAAUAAACCGGAGGAAGUGGGGAUGACGUCAAAUCAUCAUGCCCCUUAUGACCUGGGCUACACACGUGCUACAAUGGUUGGUACAACGAGUUGCGAGUCGGUGACGGCGAGCUAAUCUCUUAAAGCCAAUCUCAGUUCGGAUUGUAGGCUGCAACUCGCCUACAUGAAGUCGGAAUCGCUAGUAAUCGCGGAUCAGCACGCCGCGGUGAAUACGUUCCCGGGCCUU